Non-coding RNA from Felis catus (domestic cat), 330 nucleotides. It matches the Rfam family "7SK RNA". Rfam says of the family: 7SK was discovered as an abundant small nuclear RNA in the mid-70s but a possible function has only recently been suggested. The record is from Rfam. Lineage: Eukaryota; Metazoa; Chordata; Mammalia; Carnivora; Felidae.
GGCGGUGAGACCUAUCUGGCUGGGACAUCUGCCACACCAUUGAUUUCCAGGGUUGAUUCGGCUGACCUGGCUGGCCAGGUGGGCGUCCCCUUCCUCCCUCACCAUUCCACUUGUGUCCCUCCCUAAGCUGCAUGCUAAGUCACAGAGAAUGACCUUCCCCGAUGGAGAAGGACUGUUGCCAGGUCAACCGUAUCUGAGUUCUGCGCUCCCCUGCUAGAACGUUCAAUCAAGCUCUCAAGGCCCAUUUGUAGGAGAAUGUAGGACAGCCAAGCUUCCAAGACUCCAGACACAUCCAAAUGAGGUGCUGCUUGUGACAGUCUGCCUUAAAAA